AUAGAUGCAGGCAGAAAUGCACUGUAUACUCGUGGAACCGAAUUAGCGUUUAAGCGCUAUGCAAUAGCGCCGGACACGGGGAGCCGCCUUCGGGCGGCUUUUUUUGU
This 107-nucleotide small RNA is filed under the name human gut metagenome. Its description in RNAcentral is "DUF3800-I RNA". It matches the Rfam family "DUF3800-I RNA". Rfam says of the family: Actinobacteria, Firmicutes, Fusobacteria, Proteobacteria (1 example), Tenericutes (2 examples). Terminator (Clostridia) The record is from RNAcentral.